This 402-nucleotide long non-coding RNA is filed under the name Medicago truncatula (barrel medic). RNAcentral's name for it is "long non-coding RNA (MTRU_LNC006023)". Lineage: Eukaryota; Viridiplantae; Streptophyta; Magnoliopsida; Fabales; Fabaceae. The record is from RNAcentral.
UCAUCUCCACCUCACAAAAUCGACUUAUAACAUUAAAGAUAUCUUCUUUACAAACCAUAGUCAACUCUUACUCUUAUCUUUAAUAUAUGUUAGUUGAUUUCUGCAAUCAACCAUAUUUUCUCAUGAUUUGAUUGAACAUGGCCGGAGUAUUAUUGUUAUGGUUAUGGAGUUGUUUUAUUUUAUUAUUCUUUUGGUUAUUGAGUUUAUGAGUUCUAGAAAUUGUAAGAAUCUCCCUUUGAAAAGUCAAGACACUGUGGCGACACGGAGAUUGUCUUUAAGUUAAGGGCCAGUUUUCAGUUGACUUAGAUUGGCCGGUCGAUCUGAUUCUGAAUUUUGAAGGCCAAGUCUUUGCCGUUUUUUCUAACCUUCCAGAGUAUUUUCAUCAUCGUGUAAUGUAAUCUA